CGAUCGACCAAUGGAGAAACAAAAGGGGGUCUAACCCUAAUUUCAACAAAAGCACCAAAUUGAAGGACAAAUCUAGCCCGAAUCAGGUGCAUGAACACGUAUAAACGAUCACCAAGUCAAGAGGAUCGUAAGUUUGACGCUUAACGAGCUACAUGGAGGCUUGGGAAAGAAGCGGGUCAAACGGAUUGAGUACGCGGAAAAGUGUAUAACCGGAUGCAAGGUUUCAGCAACAAAACUGCUGGAAAAUCAUCUUCCCCGCAGCACGCGAUAGGGAGCAGUAAUCCUGGCACGACACGUGAGGGUGCUGGCGGCACGCGAAAGAUCAAGCGGAGUCUGUCGCGUGGCACGACAGACUAAAUUUCGAAAUUUUAUUUUGUUUUUGAUUGUUCGAUACUAGAACUUGAUUAUACUAUUAUUUAAGAUAUCAAAACUAACUUUUAAGUUGGUUUUGAUCACAGGUGAAUAUCAGGAGUACCGGAUGAAGAUCAAGCGAUGAGAAAGAACCGAACACAUGAAGAAGAAGCUUCCGCACGUUAUUUUGUCGAAAUUUUUAAACGACAAACUAAACUACAUUAUGUUGUUCUAAACUUUAAAUUGUAAAAGUUUUAAAUAAAUCCGUAUUUUUUAAUGUAUAUGUGCUCUUAAUCACAUGUUUAUUUUCGUAAAUUAUACGUAAAUCGUAAAAUAAUAGCAAGGGUGUUACAAGUUGGUAAUCAGAGCUCACGGUUAAAAGAAUAAAGUGUUCGGUUCGAGGCUUGAUCGCAAAUCCGGUAAGUACAUGUAUGUUAAUGGUUUAGUAUGAUUAAAGUGUUGUGAACAACACAUAGGGUUAUCAUGUAAUACACGUUACCCCAAUGAAAAUGAUUGGUACAGUUAACGAAAACACGUGCGUUGACACGUACAAUAAAAAGCCUUGUAUUACUAUACAGGCGUUUAUUAAUGUCGAAAUUACUAACUUUUGUAAAUGUUUUAAUUGAAGGACACUCGCAUCUGAAGAUGACGAGAAUUGAAUAAAUUGCGGGUAUGACGGAGGAACGGUCCGAGGUAUGACAAGCAGAGCAUACUCGUCAAGAACCUAAAUCGCGUAGCGAUAGCGAACAAGGUUAACGGCAAGAGAAGCCCGUUAGGCCAAGCAUUACCAGUUUGACGCUUAACGAGCUACAUGGAGGCUUGGGAAAGAAGCGGGUCAAACGGAUUGAGUACACGGAAAAGUGUAUAACCGGAUGCAAGGUAAGUAACUACUUACAACCCUUUUAUUUUAUAGAAUACUUAGUAUGUGAAUUGAAAAUGAAUGGAGAAAAAUCCGUAAUUGAAUUUGAUGUUCCGACGCGAACAAAAUGAGUCAGAACAAGUGAAAGUGAUAAAAUCCAUAAUGGUUGUAAAAAAAGGGGGUAAAAUAGUAAAUUAGUAAAUUAGUCACGAGUUUGACACAAUAUUUGACCAGAAUUUGGUUAACAACAUAAAGGAUGUUUACUAAUUUUUAUAGAUUUUUAUAAAGUUGUUUGACGAGGUUUUCGCGGAUGUUUUGUCAAUAAAUUAGUUGUUGACAGCAACAGUUCCACUACUUGCAGAACUUAUUUCGAGGUCUUAACCAUCGAGUUUUGACGCGAUAAUUGACCAGAAGUUGGUUUACAACAUAAAGGAUGUUUAGUAAUUUUUAUAGAUUUUUAUAAAGUUCUCUGACGAGGUCUUUGCGGAUGUUUUGUCAAUAAAUUAGUUGUUGACAGCAACAGUUCCGCUACUUGCAGAACUUAUUUCGAGGUCUUAACCAUCGAGUUUUGACACGAUAAUUGACCAGAAGUUGGUUUACAACAUAAAGGAUGUUUAGUAAUUUUUAUAGAUUUUUAUAAAGUUGUCUGACGAGGUUUUUGCGGAUCUUUUGUCAAUAAAUUAGUUGUUGACAGCAACAGUUCCGCUACUUGCAGAACUUAUUUCGAGGUCUUAACCAUCGAGUUUUGACACGAUAAUUGACCAGAAGUUGGUUUACAACAUAAAGGAUGUUUAGUAAUUUUUAUAGAUUUUUUAUAAAGUUGUCUGACGAGGUUUUCGCGGAUGUUUUGUCAAUAAAUUAGUUGUUAACAGCAACAGUUCCGCUACUUGCAGAAAUUAUUUCGAGGUCUUAACCAUCGAGUUUUGACACGAUAUUUGACCAGAAGUUGGUUUACAACAUAAAGGAUGGUUAGUAAUUUUUAUAGAUUUUUUUAAAGUUGUUCGACGAGGUUUUUGCGGAUGUUUUGUCAAUAAAUUAGUUGUUGACAGCAACAGUUCUGUUACUUGCAGAAAUUAUUUCGAUGUCUUAACUAUCGAGUUUUGACCUGAUAUUUGGCCAGAAGUUGUUUAACAACAUAAAUAAUGUUUGGUAAGUUUUAUACAUUUUAGACAUAAGUCUUUUGUGAGUCAAAUGCCUAAAAAGGGGUCAUUAGCGUAAAGUGACUAAACGAAGGGUAAAUUUGGGAUUUCGAGUUUUCUUAAGUUAAAACCACCACAAAAAUAGUUGUGGUGGAAAAUAAGUAGGUAUUUAAAUUUGGAAAUUCGAGGUGUGAAAAAAAAAGAAGAAGAGCGGAUUUGAUGCUUAGACGCACAAAAAUCCUCUAAACGGGUCAAAACGGAUUACGCGCAUAACUUAGAUAUUGGCCGCGUAAUUCACAAAAGUCAUGAAUCCGAAAUAAAGAUUUUGAGUUAAAUACUCUGGUAUAUGAUUUAUGAUUAAUUAGAAAUAAGUUUUGGUGGUUUUAAAUAAAAACGGGUCAAAAUGUUGAUUUUGAAUAAUAAGCCGAAUGCUUAAAAAUCCAUAAUUUUAUUAGUUCGAAUGUCGGAUUUAAACUCCAUGCGAUGGAGAAUCAAAUUUCGAGCGUAUAGGAAAAAGAAUCAGGUAAAACGGAUAAGUAGAUAAAAAGUUAUGACACUUUAAAGAUCAUUUUACGAUUAAAACCAUAGCUGAAAAAAAUGCAGGUUUCAGCAACAAAACUGCUGGAAAAUCAUCUCCCCCGCGGUACGCGAUAGGGAGCAGUAAUCCUGGCGCGACACGUGAGGGUGCUCGCGGCAUGCGAAAGAUCAAGCGGAGUCUGUCGCGUGGCGCGACAGACUAAAUUUCGAAAUUUUAUUUUGUUUUUGAUUUUUCGAUAGUAGAACUUGAGUAUACUAUUAUUUAAGAUAUCAAAACUAACUUUUAAGUUGGUUUUGAUCACAGGUGAAUAUCAGGAGUACCGGAUGAAGAUCAAGCGAUGAGAAAGAACCGAACACAUGAAGAAGAAGCUUUCGCACGUUGUUUUGUUGAAAUUUUUAAACGACAAACUAAACUACAUUAUGUUGUUCUAAACUUUAAAUUGUAAAAGUUUUAAAUAAAU
Molecule: long non-coding RNA, 3347 nt
Organism: Helianthus annuus (common sunflower)
Lineage: Eukaryota; Viridiplantae; Streptophyta; Magnoliopsida; Asterales; Asteraceae
Exons: 4
Source: RefSeq, a predicted model, not a curated record